UUGGGUAUUCCUGCUUGUAAUAACGCACAUCAGAAGGAGGGGAUGGACUCGGGCUGCGCCUCAGCUGCUGCUGCUGCGAGAGCAUGGAUCACUGAGCUAUUGCCAAACACUUUCUUGGCCGCUAAUAGCACUUUUUUAGCCUUCUUUGUGGGGCUUGUAGCAGGUAUUUAAAAACAGCAACGGGCGAAGCAGACGCGUCUUCCUCUCGCUCCCGAGACGCCUUUCUCUCCUCUACUGUCACUUUCGAAAAUCCGUUGUUUUCUUCACAGAAUGGACUUUUUAAGACGAGAAGUGAGUAUCCUGCGGAAUCAGAUGCAUCACUCUUGUGUAUGGUUUUCUAAAUUCAGGUCUCACUCGGCUCAUCCCCGUGUGUGUGUCUGCGUGUGAAAUACUGCACACUAAUAGGCAGAGCCGACCUCAUACAUUCAGUGCCUCGCGGAGGGCCACUGCGCGCUGUCACUUUAACAACCGGGAAUUAUCACCAACAUCCAGAUUUGGGGUUAAGAGUGUCUCAAACAGUAUAUAGAUACAUUUUCCGUCAAUAAAUCCACCCUGAAUCCAGCCUCCUCAGCCCAAAGGAUCCUGCCGUCUGAUUGACGUUUUUACCACAAAAUUAUACCAUGUCUGUCGGUGGAGGAGAAGAAACAUGUCGCCAUUCCAAAAUUAGCUAGCCAUCAACAUAAAACAGGAUAAGUCCACUGUGGUGUCAUCUCACAAGAGUAUUGAUUUGGGCAGACGUUCGGGAUAGAGAGCGGAUUUCC
This 761-nucleotide long non-coding RNA is filed under the name Danio rerio (zebrafish). RNAcentral's name for it is "lncRNA si:ch211-188c11.2 (ENSDARG00000099471.2)". The record is from RNAcentral. Lineage: Eukaryota; Metazoa; Chordata; Actinopteri; Cypriniformes; Danionidae.